Xenia sp. Carnegie-2017 is the source of this 1101-nucleotide long non-coding RNA. RefSeq lists it as uncharacterized. The transcript has 2 exons. Lineage: Eukaryota; Metazoa; Cnidaria; Anthozoa; Malacalcyonacea; Xeniidae. The record is from RefSeq and is a predicted model, not a curated record.
AAAGCAUUAAGUGCUGCCACUGAUGAGAGUCACUGGCUUGACCAACAAGACGUUACUUACAAAACACAUUGGUUUACUAUUUCCUUUUCUACCAACAAAACAUUAAAACUGUAAAUAUCAUAAACUCUUGCGCCUGUGUGUAUGUACAACGUCUAGAUAUGAGUGCAAGAAAUUUCAACUUUAACAAACGUGAAAUUGAGGUACCGUUGAACAACAAACGUGAAAAGAACAAAGGCAACAAAUUGUGGAGAAGAAGGGUAAAAAACAACGGACGAGUUCCACUUCUUGGAGACGAAAUGCUUCAAAACACAGAAGACGAAGAAAUAAGAAAAGAUAAAAAUAAGAUAUUUGCCGCACAAGAAAAACACUUUGACGUUAUGAUGACAGAACCGGAUGUGCAAAAAAAUUCUAAGCAAGAUAAAGUUCUCGUUUUUCCUCAGUCUAAUGAAGGAAAUCGAAGAAAUGCAAUAUGCGAUGUUUUAGAGAAACAAUGUGUCGAACGAGUUUACACUAAAGAAACCAAUCUUUCAGAAAGGAGAGACUGUUUACGAAUUGAACAUGCUUUGCGUGAGUUUUUUCUGCUUUAAAAGAAAAAAUGAUAGAUUUAAUUUACGUAUAAUUUACGUCAAAAUGUAAUUUCAGUUCAGUGGGAGACCUAGCGUAUGUUUAGUGGGAGACUUAGCGUAUGUUUAGUGGGAGACUUAGCGUAUAAUUACAUUUUAAAGUAUAUUAAACGCAGUAGAUUGGAAAACUCUGGCAUUUCAUAACCAAUUGUGUUGUCAUAAAAUUAUUUUAACGUAUAUUCGACACACAAUGAAAUAAAUGUCUUAUAUUAAAUCCACCUUUGGUUUGUUGACUUAACUAAAAUAAUCUUCGUUUGUUUUAAUCGGUUAUCAUUGAAAUAAGAUUGAGUUUGUACACGAUAAAAGACAAAAACUUACAUAUUUUUAAAAACCCCACAGUAGCUUAUAACAUCAACAAAAGAAAACGAAAAGUCAACGCUUGAAAAGUUUCCAGUAUGAUUGUAUGUACAUAUCAAUUUUUAAGCUUCAUGUAAUUAUGUAGAUGACGCACAUGUAUUUAAUAAAAUUUUCAGCUAAA